RNAcentral lists this ribosomal RNA (253 nucleotides) under uncultured bacterium. RNAcentral describes it as "partial 16S ribosomal RNA". It matches the Rfam family "Bacterial small subunit ribosomal RNA", at positions 524 to 776 of the family's 1533-position model. The record is from RNAcentral.
UACGUAGGGGGCCAGCGUUGCUCGGAAUUACUGGGCGUAAAGGGUUCGUAGGUGGUGCGGCAAGUUGGGAGUGAAAUCUCUGGGCUCAACCCAGAGGCUGCUUCCAAAACUGCUGUGCUUGAGUGUGGGAGAGGCGCGUGGAAUUGCAGGUGUAGCGGUGAAAUGCGUAGAUAUCUGCAGGAACACCCGAGGCGAAGGCGGCUCGCUGGAUCACAACUGACGCUGAGGGACGAAAGCUAGGGGAGCAAACAGG